RNAcentral lists this ribosomal RNA (314 nucleotides) under uncultured bacterium. Its description in RNAcentral is "bacterial SSU rRNA". It matches the Rfam family "Bacterial small subunit ribosomal RNA", at positions 490 to 793 of the family's 1533-position model. The record is from RNAcentral.
GCACCGGCUAACUCCGUGCCAGCAGCCGCGGUAAUACGGAGGGUGCGAGCGUUAAUCGGAAUUACUGGGCGUAAAGCGCAUGCAGGCGGUUUGUUAAGUACAGAUGUGAAAGACCCGGGGCGUCUAACCUCGGAACUUGCAUUUUGAAACUAGGCAGACUAGAGUACUGUAGAGGGGGGGUAGGAAUUUCAGGUGUAGCGGUGAAAUGCGUAGAGAUCUGAAGGAAUACCGGUGGCGAAGGCGGCCCCCUCGGACAGAUACUGACACUCAGAUGCGAAAGCGUGGGGAGCAAACAGGAUUAGAUACCCUGGUAG